GAUGAACGCUGGCGGCGUGCUUAACACAUGCAAGUCGAACGGAAAGGCCGAAGCUUGCUUCGGUACUCGAGUGGCGAACGGGUGGGUAACACGUGGGUGAUCUGCCCUGUACUUCGGGAUAAGCUUGGGAAACUGGGUCUAAUACCGGAUAUGACGAUCUCUUGGAUGGGGUUGUGGAAAGCUUUUGCGGUAUGGGAUGAGCUCGCGGCCUAUCAGCUUGUUGGUGGGGUAAUGGCCUACCAAGGCGUCGACGGGUAGCCGGCCUGAGAGGGUGUACGGCCACAUUGGGACGGAGAUACGGCCCAGACUCCUACGGGAGGCAGCAGUGGGGAAUAUUGCACAAUGGGCGCAAGCCUGAUGCAGCGACGCCGCGUGGGGGAUGACGGCCUUCGGGUUGUAAACUCCUUUCGCAAUCGACGAAGCCUUUUGGUGACGGUAGGUUGAGAAGAAGCACCGGCUAACUACGUG
RNAcentral lists this ribosomal RNA (468 nucleotides) under uncultured bacterium. Its description in RNAcentral is "partial 16S ribosomal RNA". It matches the Rfam family "Bacterial small subunit ribosomal RNA", at positions 28 to 507 of the family's 1533-position model. The record is from RNAcentral.